GGGAGGGACGGGAUCGGCACGCCUGGACAGGAUUGUCACAGCGACACGGCGCUGCUGGCUCCCCUCUGCUCCGAACACGGCGUGCUGCCAGCCACCACUUUGUUUCUGCCCUUAGAGAAGUUUGGACAGAAUUUCUUAAGAGCUACGUUCAGAGUUGGCUGAGAUGAUGUGCUUCCCUUUGUCAGAUCUGCCUGCAGUCCUCUGGCAGUUUCCUGAGUGUGGAGCUCAUAUGAGCAGUCCCUGCGGAAUUUAGUCCAUUUGUAUACUUGGAAGGACAUAUGUGCAUAGUUGCUUUAUGGAAUUCGUGCCUAAACCUACUCCUAAUAAAUGUGGAGUGUUGAUUAGGUCCUGUUUUCGACGGGACCUUUAGAAUCAAACCAAUGUGAUUAAGUCUCAGUGCUCGUUUAACAGUGGUGUGCUGAUCAGUGUGAAAAGGGGAGUGACUGUGUACCUAAACUGGAUGUCAAACAGAUGAAAAGUUAGUUAAUAUGGGGCAGGAUUAAAUUAUUAGCAAGUGGAAGUCUUGCAUCUUGCCCUAAAACAGAGGACUGUAUGUUCUAAAGAGAUGUGCACACUUUAAUGCUCCUCUAUGGGGAGCUCUGAAAGCUCAGUGCCAUCCCUUGUCUCUGGACUGCCAUGUGACUUUUCUCCAUUUACCAGUUUUUAAAUUGCCCCCAUAAUUUUUUUUCAUCAGCUUACUUGAAGCAAGUGAGUUGGAAUUGUAUCCAGGAGCAAACUUUGAAAUUCUUUGGCCAAAAUUUUUUUUUAUCUGUAGGGGCAGAUGCUACUGUUACCGAAGCUGUGUUUCUGGUUAUGUACUUUGUUCGGUAAUUUGGAAGACUUAGCGUUAGUAUCAUUACUUACAGAAUUGAGUAACUUUUCAUUUCAAGACAGAACAGCAGCAGGAUUUGAAAUGUUUGAGUUUGGCAAGAAAAGGCUUGUCUGUAAAACAAUGAAAUUGCGUUGGGGAAAUACAGUGCCUCUGUUCAGCUGGGGCAGGCUGAGGUACACUGCAAGCUGUUGUGAGCUGCAGCUGCAUUUACCAUCAAACACUGAGCUGGUGCCGAUGAAUGUUUUGUUUUUAGUGUCAUGGAAACUGUGAGCCAAAGAAUGGAUAUUCUAUUCAUCUGGGAAAAUAGCAGUUCACUGCAUAAAACAUCAGUUGCUUCCAAAGCAGUUCUUAAAAUAGACUUUGUGAAUAUAACCCUAGAAGUAAAAGUGCAGCAAUUUAAAUGACCUCAGUACUACUUUGGUUUUUUAAAUUAGGAUAUAUGUGUGAAUGAAAUAAACACAGAGGAAGUGAAAGUUUCAAGAUACAACUGUGGCAUGGAACUCCUACAAUGAUUCUGUGUUUUACUUUACUAUGGAAUUUUAAUUUAAAGAAAUGGAGAAACCCAGAUAUUUCAAUAUCAGUCUUAAUCCUUUUUACAAUUCUUCUUCAAAUGGCUUGCUCAAAGGAUAGUUUUGAUCAUCGUUCAGUACCAUUUACUGUUUUGUACAGCAGAGUGCAAAUCAGAAACUCAUUGCAGAGUCCGGAUAUCCAAGAGAGUGCUCUCAUGGGCAAAGAAGGAAAGAGG
Molecule: non-coding RNA, 1577 nt
Organism: Cyanistes caeruleus (blue tit)
Lineage: Eukaryota; Metazoa; Chordata; Aves; Passeriformes; Paridae
Source: RefSeq, a predicted model, not a curated record